RNA transcript from Vigna angularis (adzuki bean), 1942 nucleotides. RefSeq lists it as uncharacterized. The transcript has 7 exons. The record is from RefSeq and is a predicted model, not a curated record. Lineage: Eukaryota; Viridiplantae; Streptophyta; Magnoliopsida; Fabales; Fabaceae.
GAGUUGUAAAGAGGUUGAUAUAGGCCCUUAUACGUGUGGUGCUGUAAGUGAACAAAAAGGAAGGUGUGGAAAGAAAAUGCUGGAAGAGAUUAAGAAGAAAUAAUGCAUCAGAAAGAUCUGUUUAAGAAGUACUCUUGAGGUUAUAUAGUUCUUGAGAUGUGGAUAUUUGAUCUCUUUAGAUAUUGCUUCAGAGGCAGAUGCAAAAGUGACUAAUUUUAUCCGUAAAUUUUUGCCGAGAUGAUGUUAAAGUAUUAAUAUUACAGUUGAAGAUAAGAUGAAAGCAGCUCCAUCCGAUAUUGCAAAUACCAAAAAUGAUGUUUGGUUCAAAUAAUUUGGUUUUUUUAAGAUCAUCAAUACCACCUGGUAUGUUAAUCGCAGCAGAGAACACUGCUGUAGCAAUAACAGUUGAGAUGAGCAUGCAAAACUCAGCAGUUCGUUUCAUCCACUCUUCUCCUUUAUUUCGCAAUCUUUCAUGCUCUUUUGUGAAUAAUUUCUUAGCAGUUACGCCAUCAGAAUUUUUCACUAUAUGGAGGCAUUAUCUUCUCCACCUCCUGUCACAUAUACGUUGAAGAUUCUCCCUCCUUCCUUCUCCUCCGUUUCUCCUGCCAUUGUUCUCGUUCAGUUGUUGCUAUUAUCGAAGUUGUGGAGGUGGUUGGGUGAAGCUGUUGUUCGACGUUUGAAGUUGUUCGUUGUGGUUAAAGUUCUCUACUGUCUUGGGUGAAACCUUUGCCUUGUCUGGCUGAGAAAAUUAGCUCCGAGCCAAACUCUAACCAGUUCCGUUCCGAACUGAAAACCAGAGAGAAACACUGAGAUUCAUUCAAUCACCUUAACUUAAAUGCAUGUAAUUACGCAUUGUGUCGAGGGAACUUCGAUCUUCGUUAUCAGCGAUGGAUGCGUGGAACGAAGAUUUUGCGGAGCAGGAGAUUGGGAACUUCGCGGAAUCGUUCCAUAAGUUUUUGCUUUCGCAGAGAGAUCUCUUGCACAGCCAGAUCGAUCAGUUUGAGGAAAUCGUCGUCACGCAAUGCAAACUCACCGGCGUCAACCCUCUCUCUCAAGAAAUGGUUUUUGAGCAGAGGCGGUGGAAUAACUUUAGCUACUUGGUUGAGUAAGACAACUGCUGAGGAGCAAACCAGUGUCCUUCUUAUCUUGAAGGUUCUUUGUCAUUUUCCUUUACAUAAAGCCAUUCCCUUUUUGUUCUGGUUGACUGAUGCUGGAGAUUCCCGGUUUGAAGGUCGUGAGCGUGUGCAAUAUACCAGGGAGUAGCUCUUACAACUCAGAGAGGUAUUUUUUAUGUUAUUGCUGCUUUAAUGUUAUAAUAUCCGUGAGUGCCACUUUCUUCUUUCUAUAUUUUCCAAGCGAUCGUGCUCUUUGACUUCUGAACAAAAUAAGCUUGGAAAAGGCCAUUAUUGAUAAUAAAAGUAACAGAUGGUACGCUCUUCCACUCCCAAAACCUCACUCCCGUCCAAUCCACCAUCUCUGCAACUAUUGAUUCUCAGUCUUCCAUUUGUGUUGGGAGCCCAGUUUCUGCUAACAAACCAAAUGGAAGAGAUAACGAAGUGAAAGGAGCGACCACAACAAGUGGUUCUUCACGUGAGCCAUCUGAUGAAGAUGAUGAAGCAGGUCUCUGUGAACAAAGCACAAACGCUGUUGACACCAAACGUCUUAGAAGGAAGGAUUCUAAUAGAGAGUCUGCAAGGAGGUCGAGAAGAAGAAAACAAGCCCAUUUGUCUGACCUGGAGUGGCAAGUAAUUUAUCAAACAACAUUCUUCUCACUUUUCUGCUUUUUUUUAUCAUUUUUUUUCCAUGUCUUAUUUAAUAUAUUUUAUUUACGGGUUAAUAAUUUUUUAUAAAUUUACUAAUAAUAAAAACUCAUGUUAAGGAAAUGUAUUAGAAAAUAUAGGUACCAGUACCUUAACCUAAAACGACGUAAACUUUUUGUUUU